This 258-nucleotide ribosomal RNA is filed under the name uncultured archaeon. RNAcentral's name for it is "partial 16S ribosomal RNA". It matches the Rfam family "Archaeal small subunit ribosomal RNA", at positions 748 to 1005 of the family's 1478-position model. The record is from RNAcentral.
CAGCCGUAAACGAUGUGCGUUAGGUGUAUCGACGACCACGAGUCGUCGAGGUGCCGAAGGGAAACCGUGAAACGUACCGCCUGGGAAGUACGGUCGCAAGGCUGAAACUUAAAGGAAUUGGCGGGGGAGCACCACAACAGGUGGAGCCUGCGGUUUAAUUGGACUCAACGCCGGAAAUCUCACCGGAUAAGACAGCGGAAUGAUUGCCGGGCUGAAGACUCUGCAUGACUAGCUGAGAGGAGGUGCAUGGCGUCAGUG